GGGAAAAGCAGAGGUUCAGGUGGGAAAGGGUCUGACUUCUUGGGCAGCUGCAAAGGAAGGGAGCGAAUCAAUUCCUACUGUGAGGAAAGAAAAAACUUGGUGACACCAGAGGUAGAAGUAGCCAAGAGCUAGAAUAAAGGAUGCAGCUUCACUUUGUAAUCUGAUUAC
This 168-nucleotide long non-coding RNA is filed under the name Phasianus colchicus (ring-necked pheasant). RNAcentral describes it as "lncRNA (ENSPCLG00000020341.1)". Lineage: Eukaryota; Metazoa; Chordata; Aves; Galliformes; Phasianidae. The record is from RNAcentral.